ACGGAAGGCAGCAGUGAGGAAUAUUGGUCAAUGGGCGGAAGCCUGAACCAGCCAAGUCGCGUGAGGGAAGACGGCCCUACGGGUUGUAAACCUCUUUUGCGCGGGGGAAAGUCGGGGACGGGUCCCCGAUUGCAAGUACCGCGCGAAUAAGGAUCGGCUAACUCCGUGCCAGCAGCCGCGGUAAUACGGAGGAUCCGAGUGUUAUCCGGAUUUAUUGGGUUUAAAGGGUGCGUAGGCGGGACGACAAGUCAGUUGUGAAAUGGUGGGGCUCAACCGUAGCAUCGCCGUUGAAACUGGGGUUCUUGAGUGCGAAUGAGGUACGCGGAACGUGUCAUGUAGCGGUGAAAUGCAUAGAUAUGACACAGAACACCGAUUGCGAAGGCAGCGUACUGGGACGCGACUGACGCUGAGGCACGAAAGUGCGGGGAUCGAACAGGAUUAGAUACCCUGGUA
This 453-nucleotide ribosomal RNA is filed under the name uncultured Porphyromonadaceae bacterium. RNAcentral's name for it is "bacterial SSU rRNA". It matches the Rfam family "Bacterial small subunit ribosomal RNA", at positions 341 to 792 of the family's 1533-position model. The record is from RNAcentral. Lineage: Bacteria; Pseudomonadati; Bacteroidota; Bacteroidia; Bacteroidales; Porphyromonadaceae.